UCAGAGUCAAAAGUCCCAUCCCGAGGCCAACCAACAUUAAACGUUGGCCACUCGGAGGAACAAAAGGUUAUCCAUUGGUGCUUCUUGAUCUCCACAGAUUGAUUGUGAGCUCGGCUCUUAACUUCUCUCCAGUGAUCUAGAGUUAAACUCAGGGGGGUGGUUAGGUGUUGUCCCAUUUUGGGGUAUUCUAAAAUCACAAUGAAACAGACAAACAACA
Nannospalax galili (Upper Galilee mountains blind mole rat) is the source of this 217-nucleotide long non-coding RNA. RefSeq lists it as uncharacterized. The record is from RefSeq and is a predicted model, not a curated record. The transcript has 2 exons. Lineage: Eukaryota; Metazoa; Chordata; Mammalia; Rodentia; Spalacidae.